RNAcentral lists this long non-coding RNA (600 nucleotides) under Mus spicilegus (steppe mouse). Its description in RNAcentral is "lncRNA (ENSMSIG00000001065.1)". The record is from RNAcentral. Lineage: Eukaryota; Metazoa; Chordata; Mammalia; Rodentia; Muridae.
AUUUCUGUUGCCAAAACUGUUUGUAAAACUAAAUUUUAUUUAUGUAUAAGUCAGAGUGUUUUGCACACAGAGGACACUGGAGUCCUUGAUGGUUGAAAGGGAUCUGAUACCUUGUCUCACUAUUUGAUCUGAGUGGUAAAUGAAAGACCAACGCUUACAAUAGUCUUGAAGGAGAAACUCAUAAAUAACACUUUAUGUGGAAGAUGGAUAUACACUUAUUAGUGCUGUGAAACUACAUUUAUUCAUUACUAUUUUUUCUGGUCUUGAGGUAAGCCCAGAGCCUUGAGCUUGCUAAACAACUGCUCUACCCACCGAACCUCAAGAUCCUCAACUCUACAGUGUGACACAUGAAAAGAGUGAGAGCAAAUGGAUGGAGUAUGUAGAAGGGUUUAUGAAGCAUCCAAAACAAGGGAACACAGGAUGUCCCAUACAACUUCUUACCUCGUGUUCGGUCAUUACUAAUGUUCAAGUGAGUACUUUUCCCCUAGGCAUUAUUCCUAGAGUCCCUCAGAAUAUACUGCUUCUGUCCAGUGUAAAGCUGAAAGUUGUGAGUGGGAUGGGCAGAAAAACAAGAAGCAGAGUGUCAGGUAGAGAGAAAAG